Non-coding RNA from Triticum aestivum (bread wheat), 126 nucleotides. The record is from Rfam. NCBI's taxonomy places the organism in Eukaryota, Viridiplantae, Streptophyta, Magnoliopsida, Poales, Poaceae.
AACGUACUCCCUCCGUUCCGAAUUACUUGUCUUGGAUUUGUCUAGAUACAGAUGUAUCUAGCUAGCUAGAUACAUCUGUAUCUAGACAAAUCCAAGACAAGUAAUUCGGAACGGAGGGAGUACGUC